AAAAGCCUGAUAGAGAAUUGAAGACUAGAGAUCUGCCAGGAGUUGCUGCAAGGACUUCAGGAACUGCAUUCAUAUGGAAUUUUGCACAGAGACCUGAAGCCUGAAAAUAUUUUGUUUGAUAUCAACAAUAAACUGUACAUCGCAGACUUUGGAGUAAGCAGAAAACUGGAUCUGGCACAAACCACACUGCUCUCUCAAAUGGCUGGAUCUUUUUCUUGGUCAAGUUAUGAAGAUGUUGGAGGCAUGCAAUACAAGUACAAGAAAGAAUCAGAUAUCCAGGUAGCAGGAUGCUUGGUGCAUUACAUCCUGACGGACGGGCAACACCCCUAUCAGACAACUACACCCUACUCCAAGGAUCCAGUUGGACUAUCUCAAAAUGUCAGAAUGGG
Molecule: long non-coding RNA, 389 nt
Organism: Xyrauchen texanus (razorback sucker)
Lineage: Eukaryota; Metazoa; Chordata; Actinopteri; Cypriniformes; Catostomidae
Exons: 3
Source: RefSeq, a predicted model, not a curated record